UACGGGGGGGGCGAGCGUUGUUCGGAAUCACUGGGCGUAAAGGGCGCGUAGGCGGCCCGCACAAGUCUGCGGUGAAAACCCCCGGCUUAACCGGGGGCCGGCCGUGGAAACUGUCGGGCUGGAGGCUGGGAGAGGGCAGCGGAAUUCCCGGUGUAGCGGUGAAAUGCGUAGAGAUCGGGAGGAACACCGGCGGCGAAGGCGGCUGCCUGGACCAGUCCUGACGCUGAUGCGCGAAAGCUAGGGGAGCAAACAGG
This 254-nucleotide ribosomal RNA is filed under the name uncultured bacterium. RNAcentral describes it as "partial 16S ribosomal RNA". It matches the Rfam family "Bacterial small subunit ribosomal RNA", at positions 524 to 776 of the family's 1533-position model. The record is from RNAcentral.